Molecule: ribosomal RNA, 479 nt
Filed under: uncultured bacterium
Lineage: Bacteria
Description: bacterial SSU rRNA
Rfam family: Bacterial small subunit ribosomal RNA
Source: RNAcentral
ACCGUACUCCUACGGGAGGCAGCAGUGGGGAAUUUUGGACAAUGGGGGCAACCCUGAUCCAGCAAUGCCGCGUGAGUGAAGAAGGCCUUCGGGUUGUAAAGCUCUUUUGUCAGGGAAGAAACGGUAGUAGCUAAUAACUAUUACUAAUGACGGUACCUGAAGAAUAAGCACCGGCUAACUACGUGCCAGCAGCCGCGGUAAUACGCAGGGUGCAAGCGUUAAUCGGAGUUACUGGGCGUAAAGCGUGCGCAGGCGGUUGUGUAAGUCAGAUGUGAAAUCCCCGGGCUCAACCUGGGAAUUGCAUUUGAGACUUAACGGCUAGAGUGUGUCAGAGGGGGGUAGAAUUCCACGUGUAGCAGUGAAAUGCGUAGAUAUGUGGAGGAAUACCGAUGGCGAAGGCAGCCCCCUGGGAUAACACUGACGCUCAUGCACGAAAGCGUGGGGAGCAAACAGGAUUAGAAACCCGAGUAGUCCUUGAC